CCCGCCCGCCCCUCUGAAAUCUUUCCGCCCCGAUUUUUUUUAUUUUUGAAAAAAAAAAACGAUUUCCGGAUUUUGUUAAUUUCCGUUACCGGUAACCGUCGAUGAUUUUGUUUCAUGUAAAACUUCCUUUCUCAAAUUUCGGUUUUCGUAUUUCUCGUAUUCUUACUGAAUGAUUAAGUCCAUAUAUUCUGCUGAUCUAUGAUGACAACAUCAUUUCCCGAGAAUAGAGAUUGAUUACGAGAAGGGCGUGAAAUAUUCGGGUUACAAGUUAUACAAUGUGUCCAAGAACGCAAAUCGCCGUACGGUCACAAAUGACACAAAUGUUUGUGAGUAAAAC
This 337-nucleotide long non-coding RNA is filed under the name Mytilus galloprovincialis (Mediterranean mussel). The record is from RNAcentral. Lineage: Eukaryota; Metazoa; Mollusca; Bivalvia; Mytilida; Mytilidae.